RNAcentral lists this ribosomal RNA (253 nucleotides) under uncultured bacterium. Its description in RNAcentral is "partial 16S ribosomal RNA". It matches the Rfam family "Bacterial small subunit ribosomal RNA", at positions 524 to 776 of the family's 1533-position model. The record is from RNAcentral.
UACGUAGGGUGCGAGCGUUGUCCGGAAUUACUGGGCGUAAAGAGCUCGUAGGUGGUUUGUCGCGUUGUUCGUGAAAACUCACAGCUCAACUGUGGGCGUGCGGGCGAUACGGGCAGACUGGAGUACUGCAGGGGAGACUGGAAUUCCUGGUGUAGCGGUGGAAUGCGCAGAUAUCAGGAGGAACACCGGUGGCGAAGGCGGUUCUCUGGGCAUUACCUGACGCUGAGGAGCGAAAGUGUGGGGAGCGAACAGG